Molecule: ribosomal RNA, 465 nt
Filed under: uncultured bacterium
Lineage: Bacteria
Description: partial 16S ribosomal RNA
Rfam family: Bacterial small subunit ribosomal RNA
Source: RNAcentral
GACGAACGCUGGCGGCGUGCUUAACACAUGCAAGUCGAACGGAAAGGCCCUGCUUGCAGAGUACUCGAGUGGCGAACGGGUGAGUAACACGUGGGUGAUCUGCCCUGCACUUCGGGAUAAGCUUGGGAAACUGGGUCUAAUACCGGAUAGGAACCAUCUUUAGUGUGGUGGUUGGAAAGUUUUUUCGGUGUAGGAUGAGCUCGCGGCCUAUCAGCUUGUUGGUGGGGUAAUGGCCUACCAAGGCGGCGACGGGUAGCCGGCCUGAGAGGGUGUACGGCCACAUUGGGACUGAGAUACGGCCCAGACUCCUACGGGAGGCAGCAGUGGGGAAUAUUGCACAAUGGGCGCAAGCCUGAUGCAGCGACGCCGCGUGGGGGAUGAAGGCCUUCGGGUUGUAAACUCCUUUCGCUAGGGACGAAGCUUUUUGUGACGGUACCUAGAGAAGAAGCACCGGCUAACUACGUG